UACAGAGGUCUCAAGCGUUGUUCGGAUUCAUUGGGCGUAAAGGGUGCGUAGGCGGUGAGGUAAGUUGGAUGUGAAAUCCCGGGGCUUAACCCCGGAACUGCAUUCAAUACUGCCUUGCUAGAGUACUGGAGAGGAGAUUGGAAUUCACGGUGUAGCAGUGAAAUGCGUAGAUAUCGUGAGGAAGACCAGUGGCGAAGGCGAAUCUCUGGACAGUAACUGACGCUGAGGCACGAAGGCCAGGGGAGCAAACGGG
Molecule: ribosomal RNA, 253 nt
Filed under: uncultured bacterium
Lineage: Bacteria
Description: partial 16S ribosomal RNA
Rfam family: Bacterial small subunit ribosomal RNA
Source: RNAcentral